AUGGGAAAUCAGUGCCACCGCUCCGCCGUGUCCCUAGGCGUGAGGCCAGCUCUCCCUGCAGCACUCCCCUGCCCCUGGCAGGAGGGAGACUUGCAAGACCACCUGGAAACCUCAAACCUCAGCUCAGGGACGGCCAGAAGAAAAGCAAGCAGAGGCAGCGGUGGUGUCUCAGCCUAUGAGGUGAAAUGCAAACUUGACAGCCUUGGUGGGGGGCUGGACCCACAGCAGCACCUGGGGUGGAAAGGACGGACCCAGGACCGCUCGCUGCCCAGCAGUGGGACUCCCCUGCUCUCCUCCGGACCUCUUGAACAUGUAUAUGUGGUGCCGGCCCCCAUCCCGGAGGAUGCUCUGCAAGGCGUCCUCCUGCAUCUUCAGUCUCACCGGGGCUGCUCCCUGCAGGGGGCUGGGUUUGGGCUCCCAAAACUCCCAGGGCUCCGAGGGAUGGGGCUAAAUCCCUGCAAAAACCACGCACCGCCCUGCUGCCGAGCAAAGCCGGGUGGGGAAAGCACCGCAGCAGCCCGGACCCUCCCCCCCUCCCGAAUAGUCCCCGCAGCAGAGGGGCGUUUUGUGCCCCCCGCCCCGGCGAUUUCUCUGGCACCCCGGGGAGCAGCAUCGCCCGGCGCGGGGCGCACGGGGCAGCUGUGCAACGCGGCAGCCCCGAGGGGCGCGGGGCCGAUUUUAGCGGCUUGGAGGGGAGAACAAAACAAAACAAAACAAAACAAAAAAACAGAAAAAUCCUGCAGUGUGGCUUUAUGUGCAAACACCCCCGCGCCGGCACACCCGCACACCGACGUCCGAGUGCAAUUGUGCCGUGAAUGCAUCCCCGUCCCCGCCGGGGAGAUUGCCUCUGCAGCCACUUAUUGCAAAAAAAGAAAAGUAAUAAAAAAUAAAAAUAAAUCCAACAUGCAAACGACAGAAAGAAAGAAAGUUGCGUGCGUGCGUGCGUGCUUGCGCGCUGGGAGAGGGGCGGAUGGGUGCACGCCGGUUGAUUUCGGACCUCGCCUUGUGCCUAGCGGGCUCUUUUUUCUGCAACGGAGAAUAAACAGGUAA
Molecule: long non-coding RNA, 1050 nt
Filed under: Apteryx haastii (Great spotted kiwi)
Lineage: Eukaryota; Metazoa; Chordata; Aves; Apterygiformes; Apterygidae
Description: lncRNA (ENSAHAG00000011556.1)
Source: RNAcentral